Molecule: ribosomal RNA, 406 nt
Filed under: uncultured bacterium
Lineage: Bacteria
Description: partial 16S ribosomal RNA
Rfam family: Bacterial small subunit ribosomal RNA
Source: RNAcentral
AUCGAACGCUGGCGGCAGGCCUAAUACAUGCAAGUCGAACGAGUGGCGGACGGGUGAGCAAUGUCUGGGAACCUGCCUAACGGAGGGGGACAACUACUGGAAAACGUAGCUAAUACCGCUUACCAUCAGAUGUGCCCAGAUUGGAUUAGCUUGCUGGUGGGGUUACGGCUCACCAAGGCGACGAUCCAUACCCGGUCUGAGAGGAUGACCGGCCACACUGGAACUGAGACACGGUCCAGAAUCCGACGGGAGGCAGCAGUAGGGAAUAUUGCGCAAUGGGCGAAAGCCUGAUGCAGCAAUGCCGCGUGUGUGAAGAAGGCCUUCGGGUUGUAAAAUACUUUCAGCUGGGAAGCGUUACCCACACAGGAAGCACCGGCUAACUCCGUGCCAGCAGCCGCGGUAAUAC